This 557-nucleotide ribosomal RNA is filed under the name uncultured bacterium. RNAcentral's name for it is "bacterial SSU rRNA". It matches the Rfam family "Bacterial small subunit ribosomal RNA", at positions 294 to 842 of the family's 1533-position model. The record is from RNAcentral.
GAGAGGUUGAUCGGCCACAUUGGGACUGAGACACGGCCCAAACUCCUACGGGAGGCAGCAGUAGGGAAUCUUCCACAAUGGGCGAAAGCCUGAUGGAGCAACGCCGCGUGGGUGAAGAAGGUCUUCGGAUCGUAAAACCCUGUUGUUAGAGAAGAAAGUGCGUGAGAGUAACUGUUCACGUUUCGACGGUAUCUAACCAGAAAGCCACGGCUAACUACGUGCCAGCAGCCGCGGUAAUACGUAGGUGGCAAGCGUUAUCCGGAUUUAUUGGGCGUAAAGGGAACGCAGGCGGUCUUUUAAGUCUGAUGUGAAAGCCUUCGGCUUAACCGGAGUAGUGCAUUGGAAACUGGGAGACUUGAGUGCAGAAGAGGAGAGUGGAACUCCAUGUGUAGCGGUGAAAUGCGUAGAUAUAUGGAAGAACACCAGUGGCGAAAGCGGCUCUCUGGUCUGUAACUGACGCUGAGGUUCGAAAGCGUGGGUAGCAAACAGGAUUAGAUACCCUGGUAGUCCACGCCGUAAACGAUGAAUGCUAAGUGUUGGAGGGUUUCCGCCCUUCA